Long non-coding RNA from Dermochelys coriacea (leatherback sea turtle), 434 nucleotides. RefSeq lists it as uncharacterized. The transcript has 3 exons. Lineage: Eukaryota; Metazoa; Chordata; Testudines; Dermochelyidae. The record is from RefSeq and is a predicted model, not a curated record.
CCUACAAUUUAAAAAAAAAAAAAAAAACAAAAAACAAAAAAACAGGUAUUCCAUAAAGCAUCAUUUCAAGUUGGAUAUGGCAUGUGUGCUGCUUUAAAUACUGGUCUCAAAUGUCUCUUGGGAAGAUCCAACAGCAGCUGUGGCUUAGAAGGUGAAACGGCAUCUUUUUCUAACCAGGACAUAUCUUGAGCUUACCAUGAGAAGUCUGCAAACUAUGAACAUAUUUUUUUCUAGCUACAUGACAGUUAUAUUUUUAACAUGGUUUUAAUGACUGAUUAAGGGGAGAAAACUGUGUAAUGAAGGAAGAUUCAGUAACAUAGCCUUCUUCUCCCUUCCCAACAACGCUAAGCACAGGAUAAGCACAUACUAUAUAGCGAAGGCUGGAGUUUAGCAUUUCUACUUUUUGCUGUUUUUCCUGUUAUUAACCAGCUGCA